Molecule: ribosomal RNA, 622 nt
Filed under: Clostridioides difficile
Lineage: Bacteria; Bacillati; Bacillota; Clostridia; Peptostreptococcales; Peptostreptococcaceae
Description: bacterial LSU rRNA
Rfam family: Bacterial large subunit ribosomal RNA
Source: RNAcentral
CAGUUUUGGCGGAGCCAUCCUUGGGAUACCACCCUUGUAGUACUGGGACUCUAACCAUAGGCCAUGAAUCUGGUCUUGGGACACUGUCAGGUGGGCAGUUUGACUGGGGCGGUCGCCUCCCAAAAGGUAACGGAGGCGCUCAAAGGUUCCCUCAGUACGGUCGGAAAUCGUACGUAGAGUGUAAAGGCAAAAGAGAGCUUGAUUGCAAGACAUACAGGACGAGCAAGGAUGAAAAUCGGACUUAGUGCUCCGGUGGGUCUGAGUGGCAAGGCAAUCGCCCAACGGAUGAAAGCUACCCUGGGGAUACAAGGCUUAUCUCCCCCAAGAGUCCACAUCGACGGGGAGGUUUGGCACCUCGAUGUCGGCUCAUCCCAUCCUGGGGCUGUAGUAGGUCCCAAGGGUUGGGCUGUUCGCCCAUUAAAGUGGUACGCGAGCUGGGUUCAGAACGUCGUGAGACAGUUCGGUCCCUAUCCGUCGCAGGCGUAGGAAAUUUGAGAAGACCUGUCCUUAGUACGAGAGGACCGGGAUGGACGUACCUCUGGUGUACCAGUUGUCCUGCCAAGGGCAUGGCUGGGUAGCUAUGUACGGAAUGGAUAAGCGCUGAAAGCAUCUAAGCGCGAAG